GACGAACGCUGGCGGCGUGCUUAACACAUGCAAGUCGAACGGAAAGGCCCUGCUUUUGUGGGGUGCUCGAGUGGCGAACGGGUGAGUAACACGUGAGUAACCUGCCCUUGACUUUGGGAUAACUUCAGGUAACUGGGGCUAAUACCGGAUAGGAGCUCCUGCUGCAUGGUGGGGGUUGGAAAGUUUCGGCGGUUGGGGAUGGACUCGCGGCUUAUCAGCUUGUUGGUGGGGUAGUGGCUUACCAAGGCUUUGACGGGUAGCCGGCCUGAGAGGGUGACCGGCCACAUGGGGACUGAGAGACGGCCCAGACUCCUACGGGAGGCAGCAGUGGGGAAUAUUGCACAAUGGGCGGAAGCCUGAGGCAGCAACGCCGCGUGCGGGAUGACGGCCUUCGGGUUGUAAACCGCUUUCGCCUGUGACGAAGCGCGAGUGACGGUAAUGGGUAAAGAAGCACCGGCUAACUACGUG
This 468-nucleotide ribosomal RNA is filed under the name uncultured bacterium. Its description in RNAcentral is "partial 16S ribosomal RNA". It matches the Rfam family "Bacterial small subunit ribosomal RNA", at positions 28 to 507 of the family's 1533-position model. The record is from RNAcentral.